Molecule: long non-coding RNA, 522 nt
Organism: Priapulus caudatus
Lineage: Eukaryota; Metazoa; Priapulida; Priapulimorpha; Priapulimorphida; Priapulidae
Exons: 2
Source: RefSeq, a predicted model, not a curated record
UGACAGCAUGCAAUGGUUCUACAAGGUCGUUGGUAUGCUACCAGACUACUCUGCCCCACACGGAGAGUCGGAGUACAAGCGUUCACGCUGCCAGCCAAAGCAAAGCAGUAGAGCAGGAGAUGAGGAGAGAAAGAAGGACUACGUUAGACAUAACUUAAAGAUCCAAGCGACUGCAAUGAGCUCCCCCUACAAACUAUCGCCUUCUAGGACAUUGAUUGCGAAAUAGAACAUCUACUGUGUGUUAUUAAGUUAUGUACAGGAAUAAUAUCUAUCAGGCGUUUAUCAUAUGCAAAUGAUGCAAGCACUGAGUUCUUUUGAUAUUAUGAGCCCUUGAUACAUCUUUAUAUAUAUAUAUAUAUGAUAGGUCUAUAUAUAUAUUCACUAAUUAAUGUUCGUUUAUAUAUUUCUGUUAGACAUUAUAUAUUGAAUUAGCAUGAUAAGAUACACAGGAAAUGCAUAUUAAAAUGUCUAUACAUGAUGUAAUUUUUAUGAAUAAACUAAAACAGAGAUAUCACAAUCACA